Molecule: ribosomal RNA, 107 nt
Filed under: Chryseobacterium sp. 8AT
Lineage: Bacteria; Pseudomonadati; Bacteroidota; Flavobacteriia; Flavobacteriales; Weeksellaceae
Source: RNAcentral
GGGUGGUUUUAGCAGAGGGGCUCACCUGUUCCCAUUCCGAACACAGAAGUUAAGCCCUCUAGCGCCGAUGGUACUGCGAAAGCGGGAGAGUAGGUCGCCGCCAGUUU